Long non-coding RNA from Lathyrus oleraceus (garden pea), 580 nucleotides. RefSeq lists it as uncharacterized. The transcript has 2 exons. The record is from RefSeq and is a predicted model, not a curated record. Lineage: Eukaryota; Viridiplantae; Streptophyta; Magnoliopsida; Fabales; Fabaceae.
CAGAAUGGGCCUUAUGUUGGGAUUUACCAGGCCCAAACGCAGGGAGGUGUAACAGUCUCACACUCUCGAUUACAAAACCUUCGCCAAUCUCUCCCAAUUCCUCCCUAAACACGCAAACAGAAUUCAAACCUUACACAACCGUAACAAAUUCAGAGCAAAACGAUGAAGUCGUGAUUACCUUUGGAUACGCCGCUCUAACGGAAUUGAUGGACGAAAAUUACAGAACAGAAAUCCGGAGGCUUCAAAUCCGUGUGUUACAGUGAAAAACUCGUUGGUUGCAGUGUCGCAGAGAAGAUGAAGGUGAUGAAUCGCACGCGAACCACGAAUUCGAUCUCAACGUCUCCUUCCUCCUAUCACGGAUUCCUACUUCCUCUUUUCUGUUUCUGCUUUUGUGAAGCGUUACGCACUGCAGGAAUAUGAAGACGGUAAAAGUUGAAUGAAAACACGUUCUCCGAAGAUUCAAGAAGAAGCCCCAACUUCACUCUAUUCUGGUGUUUAUAUAGAGUUUGAAAUGGAAGUUGAUUUCACUUGCUGUCGUUUCUGUGUUUUCAAUCUACUCGGAUGCUGCAUUUUUCAUUCA